ACAGACCAAUAGCGUCUAAAAUAAAAUUAGUGUUUUAGCAUCAGUGUACUGAUAACAUCUUUUAUAAUAGAGUAACUUCAGUAACUCUCACAUUUAAAUGUUGUUUAGUGAGCAUUGAGCUCAUUGACUUGGGCACUUCUUUUUUUACCUUACCAGAAUUGAAUGUACCUACAGGCGCUACAGACGCUACAGCUAUUCUCGACUUAAUUUGUCACUGGAACAAUGUAGAAAUUAUCAGAAAUUAUCAUGGAAUUGUUAAAAAAGGGGGUGUUGUUCGGUUCAAAAGAGUUCAAUCCAGUAUUAUACACACGCCCACUCCACCUCACGGAAAUUUGCUCCUGCAGCAACAAUUGCGCCACUGCGAGUAGGCGCGCUAGUAAGACAAUUUACUUUGAAUGUAUUGUCAAAUCAGCAUCAGUGUACCUCACUUUGUGAACUAAUUCAUCCAAAAUAAGUAAUCCACCUAUGGUAAAUUGGAAAAGAAAAUUGUAUAUAUUUUUUAUAUUUUUAAACGUUGUUAAAUUCAGAGUAAUUUUAACUCUAAAUACAAUCUAUAAGAAUUGUCAAAAUCUAUAGGAUAGUUUUCGGGUCUAUAAUUAGUUUCAAACACGU
This is a long non-coding RNA of Aphis gossypii (cotton aphid), 612 nucleotides long. RefSeq lists it as uncharacterized. NCBI's taxonomy places the organism in Eukaryota, Metazoa, Arthropoda, Insecta, Hemiptera, Aphididae. The record is from RefSeq and is a predicted model, not a curated record. The transcript has 3 exons.